This 390-nucleotide ribosomal RNA is filed under the name uncultured bacterium. Its description in RNAcentral is "bacterial SSU rRNA". It matches the Rfam family "Bacterial small subunit ribosomal RNA", at positions 30 to 421 of the family's 1533-position model. The record is from RNAcentral.
AUUGAACGCUGGCGGAAUGCUUUACACAUGCAAGUCGAACGGCAGCACGGGGCAACCUGGUGGCGAGUGGCGAACGGGUGAGUAAUACAUCGGAACGUGCCCAGUCGUGGGGGAUAACGUAGCGAAAGUUACGCUAAUACCGCAUACGAUCUAUGGAUGAAAGCGGGGGAUCGCAAGACCUCGCGCGAUUGGAGCGGCCGAUGUCAGAUUAGGUAGUUGGUGGGGUAAAGGCCUACCAAGCCGACGAUCUGUAGCUGGUCUGAGAGGACGACCAGCCACACUGGGACUGAGACACGGCCCAGACUCCUACGGGAGGCAGCAGUGGGGAAUUUUGGGACAAUGGGCGCAAGCCUGAUCCAGCCAUUCCGCGUGCAGGAUGAAGGCCUUCGG